This 30-nucleotide non-coding RNA is filed under the name Homo sapiens (human). The record is from RNAcentral. Lineage: Eukaryota; Metazoa; Chordata; Mammalia; Primates; Hominidae.
UGGGCAAGGUCAGCCAACAUCAAGUGAGCC